Molecule: non-coding RNA, 68 nt
Organism: Oreochromis niloticus (Nile tilapia)
Lineage: Eukaryota; Metazoa; Chordata; Actinopteri; Cichliformes; Cichlidae
Source: Rfam
CUGUGGUGCAUUGUAGUUGCAUUGCAUGAUCCUGAAGCCGAGUGCAAUGUGUCUGCAGUGCAGUACAG